AAUAAUGUAGCUCAGCUAGGUAGAGCAGGAGACAUGUUCUUUGUGGCGUAGGUUCAAUUCCUUCCGUUAUUA
This 72-nucleotide transfer RNA is filed under the name Staphylococcus saprophyticus. RNAcentral describes it as "tRNA-His". It matches the Rfam family "tRNA". From Rfam's summary of the family: Transfer RNA (tRNA) molecules are approximately 80 nucleotides in length. Their secondary structure includes four short double-helical elements and three loops (D, anti-codon, and T loops). RNAcentral also lists the same sequence under 1 other name. The record is from RNAcentral. Lineage: Bacteria; Bacillati; Bacillota; Bacilli; Caryophanales; Staphylococcaceae.